AGUCUGGUGCCAGCAGCCGCGGAAAUUCCAGCUCUGAUAGUAUAUAUUAAAGUUGUUGCAGUUAAAAAGCUCGUAGUUGAAACUUGGGUGCGUAGGGGCGGUCUCUUUUAGAGUACUACCCUGAAACAUCUUUCUUUGGUGUAAACUUUCUAUUUAUUUAGGAAGUGUAAACCAAACAUUUACUUUGAAAAAAUUAGAGUGUUCAAAGCAGGCCUUUGCUCGAAUAUAUUAGCAUGGAAUAAUAGAAUAGGACGUAUGGUUCUAUUUUGUUGGUUUCUAGGACCGUCGUAAUGAUUAAUAGGGACGGUCGGGGGCAUCAGUAUUCAGUUGUCAGAGGUGAAAUUCUUGGAUUUACUGAAGACUAACUACUGCGAAAGCAUUUGCCAAGGACGUUUUCAUUAAUCAAGAACGAAAGUUAGGGGAUCGAAGACGAUCAGAUACCGUCGUAGUCUUAACCGUAAACUAUGCCGACUAGGGAUCGGAGGGCGUUAUAAUAACCUCUCCGGCACCUUACGAGAAAUCAAAGUUUUUGGGUUCUGGGGGGAGUAUGGUUGCAAGGCUGAAACUUAAAGGAAUUGACGGAAGGGCACCACCAGGAGUGGAGCCUGCGGCUUAAUUUGACCCAACACGGGGAAACUCACCAGGUCCAGACACAAUAAGGAUUGACAGAUUGAGAGCUCUUUCAUGAUUUUGUGGGUGGUGGUGCAUGGCCGUUCUUAGUUGGUGGAGUGAUUUGUCUGCUUAAUUGCGAUAACGAACGAGACCUUAACCUGCUAAAUAGCUGUAACAAUAGAUUAUUGUUUUGACAGCCUCUUAGAGGGACUAUCGAUUUUCAAGUCGAUGGAAGUUUGAGGCAAUAACAGGUCUGUGAUGCCCUUAGACGUUCUGGGCCGCACGCGCGCUACACUGACGGAGCCAGCGAGUCUAACCUGUGCCGAGAGGUAUGGGUAAUCUUGUGAAACUCCGCCGUGCUGGGGAUAGAGCAUUGCAAUUAUUGCUCUUCAACGAGGAAUUCCUAGUAAGCGCAAGUCAUCAGCUUGCGUUGAUUACGUCCCUGCCCUUUGUACACACCGCCCGUCGCUACUACCAAUUGAAUGGCUUAGUGAGGCUUCCGGAUUGAUUAACUGGAGAGGGCAACUUUUCUGGUUGAACGAGAAGCUAGUCAAACUUGGUCAUUUAGA
RNAcentral lists this ribosomal RNA (1181 nucleotides) under metagenome. RNAcentral describes it as "SSU rRNA". It matches the Rfam family "Eukaryotic small subunit ribosomal RNA", at positions 558 to 1777 of the family's 1831-position model. The record is from RNAcentral.